CACACAGAUAUACACCAAUACAAAAACCUCACAAUAGAAACCUGAAAAAAAAAAUUGUUCCGUAUGCAGAGAAAAACUGAUACAAAACCAUGUUUAUUCAAAAAACAUCAGGUUUUUGUUAAAGAAGUCAGUAGAGAUGUAACACUGUGAUUAUGUUUUUGACUACUGGGGAGAUGGAACUAAAGUUACUGUUGUUCCAGGCGGCCCUGAUGUCCCUCCGACUCUGUCUAUUUUGAGUCCCCUGAAGGAUUCUCGCUACCCCCCGAACACAGCAGAUGAACUUGGUCCAGAUGUCUGUCUGGUCACAGAUUUCCGUCCGAAGGGGGACGACGUAAAUCUGAAUGUGAAAGGUGGUCAGGUCAACGUCAGCACAGAUAAAGCUGUUCUGUCAAACAACACCUACGUGUUUGUUGCCUACAGCAAUGCAACCAUCCACUCCUGUGACAUGAACGGAAAGUUCAGCAACAACGAAGCUGAUGAUGCAUGUAGAAGCAUUUAUCCAGAAAAAGCCAAGCUGAACUUCUACCUGCUGCUGAUGAACGGAGUCCGGGUGGUUUUCACCAAAGCUCUGGCCUUCAGCACCGUCCUCACCAUCAGAGGUCUGCUCUUCUGAGGACAGCUUACAUGGAAAAGAAAGAAAAAAAGACAGAUUUAAAGUUGGACGAAAAUGAAAGAAACAAAAUAUAUAUAAUAAACAAAUAUUUUAUUUUACCUCUGUACAGACAUAUAUUUUAAGUUCAGAUGAUAAAUGCAAAAGGAAAUUUGUCAUGUAAAAACCAUAAAAGAAAAAAAAUUAUAUGAUUCCAACUUUGAAUUUAGAAAUUACUCAGUCAAAAUUAAGAAUAUUUAAGUCUUAUUUCAUUUAAUAAGAUGAUAAAAAAAAAAUAAAAAUAAUAAUCCAAAUAUUUGUCUAUUUCUUUUGCCUUAGCUUCAGAUUGGCACACAAAGUAAUAUGUGCCAAGUCGAUAAAUAUUUACAAAAGAAACAAAUCAUAUUUAGCAAUGUAAACAUAUUUUAAACAUUUAAAUCUGUGUGGAUAUAGUUUAAUACUCAUUGAUGACAAAUCUGAUGAUUUUAAUUUUACAGAUGUUUUUUCUGAUAUGUGUUUAUUGAAAUAGAGUGUAAAAUAGUUUUAAAAUAAUCCUCCAAGCUACUUUAGUCUUUUCAUAGUACAACAUCAGAUUAUUCUUUAGUAUUUUAUUCAGCUACUUUGUUUUAUUAAAUA
Molecule: long non-coding RNA, 1225 nt
Organism: Cyprinodon tularosa
Lineage: Eukaryota; Metazoa; Chordata; Actinopteri; Cyprinodontiformes; Cyprinodontidae
Exons: 5
Source: RefSeq, a predicted model, not a curated record